GUAUUUGAAACUAAUAAUUAAUAAGUGUUAGUUUUGUAAACUAAAUAUAGAAUAUUCCAAAUACU
Molecule: transfer RNA, 65 nt
Filed under: Gesiella jameensis
Lineage: Eukaryota; Metazoa; Annelida; Polychaeta; Phyllodocida; Polynoidae
Description: tRNA-Thr
Source: RNAcentral